GCUCGUGUCGUGAGAUGUUGGGUUAAGUCCCGCAACGAGCGCAACCCUUGAUCUUAGUUGCCAUCAUUUAGUUGGGCACUCUAAGGUGACUGCCGGUGACAAACCGGAGGAAGGUGGGGAUGACGUCAAAUCAUCAUGCCCCUUAUGACCUGGGCUACACACGUGCUACAAUGGACGGUACAAAGAGCUGCAAGACCGCGAGGUGGAGCUAAUCUCAUAAAAUCGUUCUCAGUUCGGAUUGUA
RNAcentral lists this ribosomal RNA (243 nucleotides) under Vibrio cholerae. RNAcentral describes it as "partial 16S ribosomal RNA". It matches the Rfam family "Bacterial small subunit ribosomal RNA", at positions 1058 to 1302 of the family's 1533-position model. Lineage: Bacteria; Pseudomonadati; Pseudomonadota; Gammaproteobacteria; Vibrionales; Vibrionaceae. The record is from RNAcentral.